UCCCUAGUGGUCCAGUGGUUAGGAAUCCACACUCUUAUUGUGGACGACCCAGGUUCAAUUCCUGGCUGGGGAG
Bos taurus (domestic cattle) is the source of this 73-nucleotide non-coding RNA. The record is from Rfam. Lineage: Eukaryota; Metazoa; Chordata; Mammalia; Artiodactyla; Bovidae.